This 629-nucleotide ribosomal RNA is filed under the name uncultured Moraxellaceae bacterium. RNAcentral's name for it is "bacterial SSU rRNA". It matches the Rfam family "Bacterial small subunit ribosomal RNA", at positions 129 to 758 of the family's 1533-position model. The record is from RNAcentral. Lineage: Bacteria; Pseudomonadati; Pseudomonadota; Gammaproteobacteria; Moraxellales; Moraxellaceae.
CCUAGUAGUGGGGGAUAGCUCGGGGAAACUCGAAUUAAUACCGCAUACGACCUACGGGUGAAAGGGGGCGCAAGCUCUUGCUAUUAGAUGAGCCUAAAUCAGAUUAGCUAGUUGGUGGGGUAAAGGCCCACCAAGGCGACGAUCUGUAACUGGUCUGAGAGGAUGAUCAGUCACACCGGAACUGAGACACGGUCCGGACUCCUACGGGAGGCAGCAGUGGGGAAUAUUGGACAAUGGGGGCAACCCUGAUCCAGCCAUGCCGCGUGUGUGAAGAAGGCCUUUUGGUUGUAAAGCACUUUAAGCAGGGAGGAGAGGCUAAUGGUUAAUACCCAUUAGAUUAGACGUUACCUGCAGAAUAAGCACCGGCUAACUCUGUGCCAGCAGCCGCGGUAAUACAGAGGGUGCGAGCGUUAAUCGGAAUUACUGGGCGUAAAGCGAGUGUAGGUGGCUCAUUAAGUCACAUGUGAAAUCCCCGGGCUUAACCUGGGAACUGCAUGUGAUACUGGUGGUGCUAGAAUAUGUGAGAGGGAAGUAGAAUUCCAGGUGUAGCGGUGAAAUGCGUAGAGAUCUGGAGGAAUACCGAUGGCGAAGGCAGCUUCCUGGCAUAAUAUUGACACUGAGAUUCGAAA